GUUAGGAAUUAGAGAGAAUUGAGACUGGAUUCAGAAGGAGGACCUUAGGACAGUUUGUUUGAUGCAUGAGUUGAAGUGGUUGGCCCGCCGCCGCCAGAGGAGAUUUCUGGCACGGUGGAGACUCCCUUUUAUAGCAAAGGACUCAAGACUGGAGAAGGUUGAUCUAAACGUGUUUGAUUUGAGUGAAACUUUAAUUUCCCGUCUCUUGUGGAUUUGAUGGGCCUAAAGGCCCUUGGCCCAUGUAAUU
RNAcentral lists this long non-coding RNA (247 nucleotides) under Lathyrus oleraceus (garden pea). Its description in RNAcentral is "Pisum sativum (pea) long non-coding RNA (PSAT_LNC015625)". The record is from RNAcentral. Lineage: Eukaryota; Viridiplantae; Streptophyta; Magnoliopsida; Fabales; Fabaceae.